Molecule: ribosomal RNA, 466 nt
Filed under: uncultured bacterium
Lineage: Bacteria
Description: partial 16S ribosomal RNA
Rfam family: Bacterial small subunit ribosomal RNA
Source: RNAcentral
GAUGAACGCUGGCGGCGUGCUUAACACAUGCAAGUCAAACGAUGAAGCCCAGCUUGCUGGGUGGAUUAGUGGCGAACGGGUGAGUAACACGUGAGUAACCUGCCCUUAACUCUGGGAUAAGCCUGGGAAACUGGGUCUAAUACCGGAUAGGAGCGUCCACCGCAUGGUGGGUGUUGGAAAGAUUUAUCGGUUUUGGAUGGACUCGCGGCCUAUCAGCUUGUUGGUGAGGUAAUGGCUCACCAAGGCGACGACGGGUAGCCGGCCUGAGAGGGUGACCGGCCACACUGGGACUGAGACACGGCCCAGACUCCUACGGGAGGCAGCAGUGGGGAAUAUUGCACAAUGGGCGCAAGCCUGAUGCAGCGACGCCGCGUGAGGGAUGACGGCCUUCGGGUUGUAAACCUCUUUCAGUAGGGAAGAAGCGAAAGUGACGGUACCUGCAGAAGAAGCACCGGCUAACUACGUG